Molecule: unclassified non-coding RNA, 221 nt
Filed under: uncultured Actinomycetes bacterium
Lineage: Bacteria; Bacillati; Actinomycetota; Actinomycetes
Description: uncultured actinobacterium contains 16S-23S intergenic spacer region
Source: RNAcentral
UCCGGUUUGGCACCGGCAGUCUCCCAUGAGUCCCCGACAUGACUCGCUGGCAACAUGGGACAGGGGUUGCGCUCGUUGCGCCACUUAAGGCAACACCUCACGGCACGAGCUGACGACAGCCAUGCAGCACCUGUGCGGGCCCCCGAAGGGGCGCCGUGUUUCCACGGUUUCACCCCGCAUGUCAAGCCCAGGUAAGGUGGGGAUGACGUAGACCUUGGACC